Neotoma lepida (desert woodrat) is the source of this 58-nucleotide transfer RNA. It matches the Rfam family "tRNA", at positions 8 to 63 of the family's 71-position model. From Rfam's summary of the family: Transfer RNA (tRNA) molecules are approximately 80 nucleotides in length. NCBI's taxonomy places the organism in Eukaryota, Metazoa, Chordata, Mammalia, Rodentia, Cricetidae. The record is from Rfam.
UGGCUCAGAGGUUAAGAGCACUGGCUACUCUUCCAGAGGUCCUGAGUUCAAUUCUCAG